CAUCCUUCCUUCUUGCCUUCCCACUUUCUUUCUUUUUGCCUUUACGUUUUCUCAGAUCUUCCUUCUCUCCAUUCCAUAUUUCCAUUCCUUGUCUCACUUUGGCUUCCUCUUCUCACUUUCACUUCUUUCCCUUCUUCCACAUCUUUUGCUUGUUCCUGUCUUUCCACACUAUACUCUUUCCUUUCCCACUUUCUUCAAUACUCUCGCUCACUUACCUCGGUUUCGACCAAAACUAUCGUAUUUUUAGGGGUUAUUUUCAGAUACGCUCAAAGAUGACAUGGCACACUUCUUGCAGAGUAUAGGAUAAUUAACAAGGUCUACAGACAAAGCUGGGAACUAGAGUCUCAAAAUGGAACUUAACUUAUUCAGAUAAAAAAGACCACAGGACAGUUAAUACCAUUUCAUAGCAAAGAGAAAUCCAAGAUACGAGAAAUAAAGAGAACCGCAAUCUUUGAAAAGGAGGCUAUAACCGACUAACCGUCGUCCAUUUCGGUCGCAUUGACUUUAUGGAAUCUGGAAAAAGAGCAAAAAAGAUUGGAUGAUGAAUAAU
This 550-nucleotide long non-coding RNA is filed under the name Exaiptasia diaphana. RNAcentral describes it as "uncharacterized LOC114574791, transcript variant X1". Lineage: Eukaryota; Metazoa; Cnidaria; Anthozoa; Actiniaria; Aiptasiidae. The record is from RNAcentral.